GAGUUUGAUCGUGGCUCAGAGUGAACGCUGGCGGUAGGCCUAACACAUGCAAGUCGAACGGCAGCACAGUAAGAGCUUGCUCUUACGGGUGGCGAGUGGCGGACGGGUGAGGAAUACAUCGGAAUCUACUUUUUCGUGGGGGAUAACGUAGGGAAACUUACGCUAAUACCGCAUACGACCUACGGUGAAAGCAGGGGAUCUUCGGACCUUGCGCGAUUGAAUGAGCCGAUGUCGGAUUAGCUAGUUGGCGGGGUAAAGGCCCACCAAGGCGACGAUCCGUAGCUGGUCUGAGAGGAUGAUCAGCCACACUGGAACUGAGACACGGUCCAGACUCCUACGGGAGGCAGCAGUGGGGAAUAUUGGACAAUGGGCGGCAAGCCUGAUCCAGCCAUACCGCGUGGGUGAAGAAGG
Molecule: ribosomal RNA, 411 nt
Filed under: uncultured microorganism
Description: bacterial SSU rRNA
Rfam family: Bacterial small subunit ribosomal RNA
Source: RNAcentral